CAUUGCCUAUUUUGUAAAGUUUUCCCGACUAUUUUAAUAAUAUUUUGGUGGCACUGGUAAUGAGUAUAAUAUAGCGCGGUCUAUAUGUAAUCUACGAUGGUCAUUUUAUCGUAAUAUUAUAUAGGUACAAGUAAACCAAAACUACCUUCGUCGUUUUUAACCAACUACACUACGCGACCUUUUUGCUGUGGUUUUAAUCGCGAAAAUUAUCGAGUUUAAACGCGACGACACUCGAACGAUCCUUUUGUCGACCUGAUACUGUGCAAUGGCGAGGGAUAAUUUAUAU
Cinara cedri is the source of this 286-nucleotide non-coding RNA. The record is from the annotation of a GenBank genome assembly. NCBI's taxonomy places the organism in Eukaryota, Metazoa, Arthropoda, Insecta, Hemiptera, Aphididae.